AAGCUUAGGAUAACACAAACCAAGGGCCUUCAAAGCCCUAAAUACUAAACAUCAACUAGUAGCUUC
RNAcentral lists this transfer RNA (66 nucleotides) under Cyrtodactylus pageli. RNAcentral's name for it is "tRNA-Trp". The record is from RNAcentral. Lineage: Eukaryota; Metazoa; Chordata; Lepidosauria; Squamata; Gekkonidae.